This 486-nucleotide ribosomal RNA is filed under the name uncultured bacterium. RNAcentral describes it as "partial 16S ribosomal RNA". It matches the Rfam family "Bacterial small subunit ribosomal RNA", at positions 30 to 507 of the family's 1533-position model. The record is from RNAcentral.
AUUGAACGCUGGCGGCAUGCCUUACACAUGCAAGUCGAACGGCAGCACGGGUGCUUGCCCCUGGUGGCGAGUGGCGAACGGGUGAGUAAUACAUCGGAACAUGUCCUGUAGUGGGGGAUAGCCCGGCGAAAGCCGGAUUAAUACCGCAUACGAUCCACGGAUGAAAGCGGGGGACCUUCGGGCCUCGCGCUAUAGGGUUGGCCGAUGGCUGAUUAGCUAGUUGGUGGGGUAAAGGCCUACCAAGGCGACGAUCAGUAGCUGGUCUGAGAGGACGGCCAGCCACACUGGGACUGAGACACGGCCCAGACUCCUACGGGAGGCAGCAGUGUGGAAUUUUGGACAAUGGGCGAAAGCCUGAUCCAGCAAUGCCGCGUGUGUGAAGAAGGCCUUCGGGUUGUAAAGCACUUUUGUCCGGAAAGAAAUCCUUGACUCUAAUACAGUCGGGGGAUGACGGUACCGGAAGAAUAAGCACCGGCUAACUACGUG